Molecule: non-coding RNA, 1529 nt
Organism: Malus domestica (apple)
Lineage: Eukaryota; Viridiplantae; Streptophyta; Magnoliopsida; Rosales; Rosaceae
Source: RefSeq, a predicted model, not a curated record
AUACGACAACGUCGUCCUUCUCAGUUCUCCCCCACAAACUCCUUUCUGUUUGGAUCAUCUCAAUUUUCUAACUUAUUAUUACACUCAUUCCUCUGUCCUUUUCCUGUUUAGUUGAUAUAGAAUGAGGUUUUGGUUGUUUUAGAGAAUUUUUGUUUUCUUACCUGUAGAAAGAAAUUGAGGAUGUAUGUUUUUGUGUUGGAAGGGUGGAGGCAGUAGUUUUUGAAAAAAAAGGUUGUUUUUUCAAUUUUUUAUUUCUGUGUUCAUGGUUGUUUCAAUGGAUCUUCGUCUAAUAUAAAUAGAGCUAAAUUGAAUGCCUAUUUUUCUGCAUUGUAUUUGCCUUUUUAAAUUCAUUCCUUUUUCUUGAUGAAUGUAAUUUGGUUUUGCAGGUCAAACUUUUCCAGCAAGAAGAUUUAAGCUUUGAAUUGGAUCGAGGUAUAAAUGUUUCCACUUAUUUAGUGUGCUCAAUUGAUUAUUGCUUUGAAUGCAUUGUGGUUGGAACAUGAUUUAGUACGUAUUUGAUUGACAAUGAGAAAUUGAGAGAUUUAUGUUUUGGGAUCAGACAGAAUCCCUUUAACCACAGAUACUAUUUUUGGUGAGUUUUUUUUAGUGAGACAAUGAUGUUAUUAUAAUGCAGUUGGUUAUUCUUUUUUGUAGUUGAUCAAAUCCAAAUGUUUUCUUACAUGCCCUUCGAUAUAAAUACUCACAGCUCUCUCUCUCUCUCUCUCUCUCUCAGCUCACACACGCACACAGAAACUACCACAUUGCUAGAAAAGCUGAAGAAACACUAGAAUUUAGUGAGUCUGAAACGUUGAGGUUGACAUUUAAGGUUCUCUUUCUUUCAGAGGCUAGAAAAUAUCUGGAUCUGCUUCAAAUUUCAAUUUUUGUGGCCAGAUUUUUGUGCCCCGUACGGUUUGUGUUGUGCUAAAAGCAUGAUUGUUAACGUUUGAGUGGUUUAAGGGAAUGUCCAACUGAGUUGGGAAGUUUUUGUUCAUUCUGUUAAGAUACUCUUUUUUGUGAAGAUUUUUUUAAUCUGAAAAUGCCCGAGAGUUGAAUGUGACAAAGUAAGCAGAUCAGCAUGUAAACCAGAAACCAAGAAGCUCAAACCCUGAGAAUUCAAUGUAAUCAACCUUAGUUAUGCGACUCAAAAUCUGAGGUAGCCUCUGGACCUUAUUCUCAGGAAGGUAGCAUUUUCCAAUUUUUCAUCUUUACUUUUUUAGUUAUUUUCUGUUCGGUUGUUGAGAAAGUGAUGGAAAUAUAGUUAUCUGUAAAUAUGGAAACUUGAAUCUGUGCAGACUCCUUGGUUCUGUAUUGGGUUCUGUGGAGGUUUAGGGUUUUAAUUCUGAAUGAUUUGUUCAUAUUUGUGUUGAAUUUAUUCAACUUAAAUGUGUUUUAUUUAUCCGAUUACGCCUGAAACAGCUGAUUCCUGCAGCAACGUGCGGACGUAAUUUCUAAUUUAUAACUAAGAUAGUGCUCUGUCAACUAUACAUUAUUUUAAUGAGUCUAAAAGGACCCUACGCGUUAAUGAUGAG